Molecule: long non-coding RNA, 517 nt
Organism: Octopus sinensis (East Asian common octopus)
Lineage: Eukaryota; Metazoa; Mollusca; Cephalopoda; Octopoda; Octopodidae
Exons: 2
Source: RefSeq, a predicted model, not a curated record
GGCGAGUUUACGAAUUAAAGAAAUAUUCGACAUUAAAUCUCAUCGAUAAACAACAAGUGAUUAAAUCUUCGUUUAAUACCUUACAACACAGUACGAUUAUUGCGCAAACCGGAAGCUAGUCAGAAUAGAGGAGGGAACUCCUAUGGACGAAUAUUUACGUCGCUACGCUCUUGUGUGUUUUGGAUGAUUACUGAAAUCUAUUUUGGUUCAAAACAAGAGCAGAAAUAGGUAUUUUACUGAAGAAAUAUAGAUUGAAGUAAAGAACAGGAAAAAUACCCACCAAUACUUGAUCACAAGACCUGAAGUUGUAAAGGAAUUAAAUUUUUUUUCUUUGAACCAAAGAAGAAAGUGCUGCAACAUAUUCCAGAAAAAUCAUCUUCAAAUUCCAAGAACGCAUUCACUUUUAUCUAAAGAAUUAAAAACAAAAAUAAAAAGGGAGAGAAAUAAAAACACACACACACACACAAAAAAAAAAAGAAAGUGAUAGAUAUUGUAAUCAAAAAUUAAAAAAAAGAAA